Molecule: ribosomal RNA, 123 nt
Filed under: Lactobacillus delbrueckii subsp. bulgaricus
Lineage: Bacteria; Bacillati; Bacillota; Bacilli; Lactobacillales; Lactobacillaceae
Description: partial 23S ribosomal RNA
Rfam family: Bacterial large subunit ribosomal RNA
Source: RNAcentral
GAGAUUUCCCAUUUCUUCAAGAAAGUAAGACACCUCAGAGACGAUGAGGUAGAUAGGCCGGGAGUGGAAGAGCCGUGAGGCUUGGAGCGGACCGGUACUAAUCAGUCGAGGACUUGACCAAAA